CCUGGGAGGACUUGGCCGCGCAGCCGCCGAUUACACCCAGCUCGGCUGGGAUGGCUCCGAGCCGUCUGCCCUGACGUCAGCGAGGCUCCGGGUCCCGCCGCGGCGAGAUAGGCAAGCGCGGCCGGGCGCGGGCGCGGCACUAAUCACUCCCAGAUGGCCCUAAUAGCGGAGAUAAAGACCGACGGAGCAGCCGGGAAUAAAUUUGUAAUCAAGGCUCUACCAUCUGAUCAUCAAAGCGACCCAAAUGCCAGGAGAAUAUGGAGGAAAUGUGCGUGUAGGGGGUUGCGUUUUGGGGAAAAGAGGGGGCGCGCUCUUAAAUGGAACUGACUUGGGCAGGGUGUAGUAACAAGAAUG
This 354-nucleotide long non-coding RNA is filed under the name Marmota monax (woodchuck). The record is from RNAcentral. Lineage: Eukaryota; Metazoa; Chordata; Mammalia; Rodentia; Sciuridae.